Helianthus annuus (common sunflower) is the source of this 3311-nucleotide long non-coding RNA. RefSeq lists it as uncharacterized. The record is from RefSeq and is a predicted model, not a curated record. The transcript has 8 exons. NCBI's taxonomy places the organism in Eukaryota, Viridiplantae, Streptophyta, Magnoliopsida, Asterales, Asteraceae.
CACUGUUGCUACAAAACUGGGACGUGGGCAGAAUGCAGUUGACGACCUCUCUUAUAUAAUAUAAACCCUUGCAACCAAAUAUCCACCUCCAUACAUCCUUCUGUUUGUUUGCAGUACAAUUCGCCUGUAACCUCCGUAUACAACCAACAGUUAUCGCCCAAUAUCUGAUUGAUAAUCAAGAAAUAUGGCGAUGUCGAGGGCGAGCUCUUGCUUUGCACACCCUUAUCGUUUCUUCACCGUUGUUGCUUAUGCGGGAUUUGGUGCUCCCCCAAUUCGUCACCCAAAGGGUCACCUCCAAAUUCUCAAUCGAAGUCGCUUAGUUACGUUACGCCCUUUGUGAGCAGCUCCAUCAUCAGAAAGGAAGUUCAAGAAGAUGAAGACCUUCAAUUAUCAAUGGCAGUUGCUCUACUCUUCUUCUCCUUCCUUCUCAGGGUUUAUCCUGCUAUAAUAUAAACGAGAUUGAUUCAUUUUGGCCUACAUUAUCGUCUUGAGUCUCUUGACUUUAAUCGUCUUUAUCACUGUCGGACUGGAUUCUGAUAACCAGUAGUCAUUGUCGAAGAACAAGGGCACCAAUUGAGGCCGACUUUGUAUCACCUCUGCCAAGAGUAUUAACGUUCACCACACAUGUCUCACCAGUUGAUGUCGGCGCCAUCUUGUGUUUGUUUGUAACUAGCAAUUGACCGCUUCUUCAAGAGCUUGCCAAGCACGGGGGCUAUCAACUACUUAUAACUAACUGAGCGAAUUAUUUGUAUGUCUACGGAAACUUUUGGGAAAAUCACAUACCAGGUUCUAGCAAAUGAUUGAGUGCAGUUUGUGUAUUUGUUCUACAAUCUGAUUACAAAAAACUAUCCAAUACCAUGACCAUCAGUUCUUAAAUUUUCAUAAUUCUAAUGUUGUUGAUAUUAAAGUAUAUUGAUAUAUUCUCACAUUUCUGGUGCAGGCCUGCCAUUAAGAUUGCUAAUGAAUUGAAUUCUCUAUACUUACUUGCUAACUAUAUUGAGGUUAAUUUUUUCGGUUGUUACUUUGCCUAUUAUUUUGUAGAUAUAUGUUGAGUUCAACAUUUAUAUUUAGGAUUUGUAGUCUCUGCAUUUAAAAUACAAAUGUAAUGUUCCUCUGCUGUUGAUGAAUCAUGUAAGUACACAAAAUGAGCCAACCAUGGUCAGGUAUCUUUCAUGUGAAGUUAAACAUUACACAUUUAUCUUUAUUUUGUUGCAGGCGCUAAUUGAUUAUAUUAAAAGUGUCUUUGACAUCAAUGUUCACUGAGAACAUUACACACGCUGAACGGGUUCGGGUCAGUUUCAGGUUGAACCCGCGAACCCGUUUAGGUUAACGAGUCGGGUUCGGGUCAACCUGGUCGGGUUAGCGGGUUGAUCCAUUUAACACAUUUAUAUUAUAUUUUUAUACAAUAUGUUUUGUGUCAUAAAUUAAAUUAAAUGGGGUAUGUUUUUAUUCCAUAAUUAUUACUUAAAAAGAGAAACUAAUAUAAGAUUUUGUAAUUUAAAUAUAACUGUGUUACAUACAUUUGUGUUUUUUAAUUAAAAUUUAAUUUUAAUAUAGUUAUUUCAGAAAAUAAAAUAAAAAAAAAUUCGGGUUAAACAGGUUGUGUUCGGGACUUCGGGUUAACCCGCGAAAUUUCAGGGUCGUGUUCGGGGUCAUAUGAAUGAUACGAUUUUUGGGUUCGGGUUCGUGUAAAAUUUUCGGGUUCGGGUCGGGUUAAACCCGCUAACCGGCAAACCCGACCCAUUUAGCACCCCUAAUUGAAGGUUUGAACCAUUCCUUAUUAAUAUUCUUUUAGCCCAAUCUUCUGAGGCUCUCAAAUUGGCAAUAUGGACAGGCAUGCGGGCUGAGUGACAGCUCCAAUCAAGCCCGGGUCAAAACAUAUCAUACUAGGCAGUUCAUUCAGGUGCAUAUAUUGAGUCUGCAAUAACAAAAUGCAUGGGCGAUAAAUCAUCUUCGGGUUUUUAUCCUCAGUAAUGUCAAUUCUUUCUUUAAUUCCAUUAUUUCUAUUCAACUCACUAAGUUCUAUACAGGAACUCCUUCAAUGUAUUCUGUCAUAAUAUAUGUGCAAAAUGUGGACAGAUAGAAGCGUCCGUUGACAAUGAUAUUGUUCUUUGUGAUGGUUUGUGUGAAGUUGAUACCGUCAAUUUUGUUUGGAUCUACCUCUAUUGAAAGCGCAAGAUUUUACUUUUGAAUCCAGACGAUCUUGGUUAUAUGAACAAUGAAGUAGCAUCAACAUAAGAUAAGGGCUUGAUAUGCCUGGAGAUAAACAAGAGUUACCAGAUUUGCAUAUGACCCCAUAACUGCAAAGAGAAAUGUUGAGAGACUAGAGUACAAAACACUGUAUGAGGUGAGUUUUCACCUUUAUAAAGUUUGGUUGAGUUGGGUUGGGUUGGGUUGUAUUUGAUCUUAAUCAGUCCAAUUUAAAAGAUUAAAACUAGCUCAAACGUAUUGAGUAAAAGAAAAGCUCAAAUGGGCUGAAAGUGGCAUCAGAAAUGGGAAAUGGGGAGACACAGUGGCAGAUCUAGGGGGUUCCUAGGUUCCCAGGAACCCCCUCGGUUUGGAAAAAAAGUAGUGGAAACCUUGGAUGAUUUAGGAUAAAUUAGUGAGAAUCUACCAAAAGGAUACCCCUGGAAAAUCCGCCACUAGGGAGGCAACAACAACAUGGGGUUGAGAUGGUUUUUCAAUCACAAUCAAGCUUCUUCGAGUUCUAUUACCGGAGGGAAACGUGAAAAACCCGACAAUGGAUGGGAAUUAUUCCCUAUGAACUACAAGCAUCAACAACCACCAUGGCAAUAGAGGUUCGUUCAUGUUGUUACUAUACAAUACAUCAACGUAACCCGUCCACCGGACGGGUAUUCAAGCCUGCAAAACUUAUGCAAAAAAGGAAAUAUAUGAGUUAGCAACUAAUGCAUCAACUUAUCAAGAAUUAUUGAUGAUGCUUUGUCCUUAAGCUGAUAUUUAGAGAGGUUACUUAAUAUGAAAGAAGAGGCCUUCUUUGUGUUGGGGAAACAUAAAGAUACGGUUCAAUUGUGAGGCGAAAUCUAGAUUCAUUCGAAAAGAAGUUUGCAACUGACUCAAAGUUUUGGAGGUGGAACCUGAUGUAAAAAUCUUACUUUCCCCUGGAUAGGCUUGAGAUAGCUCUUAACUUCAUUGAGAACAUGAGCAGUUGAGAUCUACUCCAAACAAAUAAUGCACAUUAUUUUAUUUUUAUAGUUCUUUCAAAGACUAUCGGUUGACUUUAUCAAAAAAGAACUUCUUUGUAGUCAAGUAUCAUGCGUGUUAGUCUUUUUUAAUCAAUCCAUCUUUAUGCC